Long non-coding RNA from Cyanistes caeruleus (blue tit), 1712 nucleotides. The record is from Ensembl. NCBI's taxonomy places the organism in Eukaryota, Metazoa, Chordata, Aves, Passeriformes, Paridae.
GGGGGGACAUCUGCGGGGACGUGGGGACACACAUGGGGACACCUGGGGACACACCUGGGGGGACACCUGGGGAACACCUAGGGACAGCUGGGGACACAUCUGGGGACACCUGAGGACACCUGGGGGCAUCUGGGGACUGAAACACAGCUGGGGACACCUGGGGGACAUCUGGGUGGACAUGGGGACAUCUGGGGACACCUGGCGGGGACAGAAACACAGCUGGUGACACCUGGGGACACCUGGAGACCUUCCCGGGACCCCCCAGGACGUUGUCCUCUGUGUCCUCAUGGCCCCAUGGUGGCCUCUGUGGUGGCCCUGCCAUGUCCUCUGUCAUCACCCCAUGGUGGCUUCUCCAUGUUCUCGUGUUGUUCAUCAUGGUGGCCUCCAUGUCCUUGUGUCAUCCUCAUGGUGGCACCUCCGUGUCCCCUGUCAUCCCCCUGGUGUCCUCCAUGUCCCCAUGCCAUGUUCAUGGUGGCACCUCCAUGUCCCCUCUCAUCCUCAUGGUGUCCUCCAUGGUGGCCCCUCCAUGUUCUCAUGUCGUCUCCUUGGUGGCCCCUCCAUGUCCCUGUGUCAUCACCCCAUGGUGGCCUCUGUGGUGGCCUCUCCCUGUCCUUGUGUCGUCCUCAUGGUGACCCCUCCAUGUCCCUGUGUCACCACCCCAUGGUGGCCUCCAUGGUGGCAUCUCUAUGUCCUUGUGUCAUCUCCAUGGUGGCAUCUCCUUGGUGGCACCUCCAUGUCCCUGUGUCAUCACCCCAUGGUGGCCCCUCCAUGUCCCCUGUCAUCCUCAUGGUGUCCUCCAUGGUGGCCCCUCCAUGUUCUCAUGUCAUCUCCUUGGUGGCCCCUCCAUGUCCCUGUGUCACCACCCCAUGGUGGCCUCAUGGUGGCAUCUCCUUGGUGGCACCUCCAUGUCCUUGUGUCAUCCUCAUGAUGUCCUCCAUGGUGGCCCCUCCAUGUCCCUGUGUCAUCACCCCAUGGCGGCCUCUCCAUGUGUCAUCCUCGUGGUGGCCUCUCCCUGUCCUCGUGUCGUCCUCAUGGUGGCACCUCUGUGUCCUUUGUCACCACCCCAUGGUGGCCUCCAUGGUGGAACCUCCAUGUCCCUGUGUCAUCACCCCGUGGUGGUCUCUGUGGUGGCCUCUCCAUGUCCUCGUGUUGUUCCUCAUGGUGGCACCUCCAUGUCCUCAUGUCAUGACCAUGGUGGCUUCCAUGGUGGCACCUCCAUGUCCUCAUGUCAUCCUCAUGGUGUUCUCCAUGGUGGCAUCCAUGUCCUCAUGUCAUGACCAUGGUGGCUUCCAUGGUGGCACCUCCAUGUCCUCAUGUCAUCCUCAUGGUGUUCUCCAUGGUGGCACCUCUAUGUCCUUGUGUCAUCUCCAUGGUGGCAUCUCCUUGGUGGCACCUCCAUGUCCCGAUGUCAUCACCCCAUGGUGGCCCCUCCAUGUCCCCUGUCAUCCUCAUGGUGUCCUCCUUGGUGGCCCCUCCAUGUCCCUGUGUCACCACCCCGUGGUGGCCUCUGUGGUGGCCUCUCCAUGUCCUCAUGUUGUUCCUCAAGGUGACGCCUCCAUGUCCUUGUGUCAUCCUCAUGGUGGUCUCCAUGGUGGCACCUCCAUGUCCCCAUGUCAUGUCCGUGGUGGCCUCCAUGGUGGCACCUCCAUGGCCCUAUGUCAUCUCCUUGGUGGCCCUUCCAUGUCCCCGUGUCAUCACCCCAUGGUGGCCUC